GCGUGCCUAAUACAUGCAAGUCGAACGAACUCUGGUAUUGAUUGGUGCGUGCAUCAUGAUUUACAUAUGAGUGAGUGGCGAACUGGUGAGUAACACGUGGGAAACCUGCCCAGAAGCAAGGGGAUAACACCUUGGAAACAGAUGCUAAUACCGCAUAACAACUUGGACCGCAUGGUCCUAGUUUGAAAGAUGGCUUCGGCUAUCACUGAUGGAUGGUCCCGCGGCGUAUUAGCUAGAUGGUGAGGUAACGGCUCACCAUGGCAAUGAUACGUAGCCGACCUGAGAGGGUAAUCGGCCACAUUGGGACUGAGACACGGCCCAAACUCCUACGGGAGGCAGCAGUAGGGAAUCUUCCACAAUGGACGAAAGUCUGAUGGAGCAACGCCGCGUGAGUGAAGAAGGGUUUCGGCUCGUAAAACUCUGUUGUUAAAGAAGAACAUAUCUGAGAGUAACUGUUCAGGUAUUGACGGUAUUUAACCAGAAAGCCACGGCUAACUACGUGCCAGCAGCCGCGGUAAUACGUAGGUGGCAAGCGUUGUCCGGAUUUAUUGGGCGUAAAGCGAGCGCAGGCGGUUUUUUAAGUCUGAUGUGAAAGCCUUCGGCUCAACCGAAGAAGUGCAUCGGAAACUGGGAAACUUGAGUGCAGAAGAGGACAGUGGAACUCCAUGUGUAGCGGUGAAAUGCGUAGAUAUAUGGAAGAACACCAGUGGCGAAGGCGGCUGUCUGGUCUGUAACUGACGCUGAGGCUCGAAAGUAUGGGUAGCAAACAGGAUUAGAUACCCUGGUAGUCCAUACCGUAAACGAUGAAUGCUAAGUGUUGGAGGGUUUCCGCCCUUCAGUGCUGCAGCUAACGCAUUAAGCAUCCGC
This 867-nucleotide ribosomal RNA is filed under the name Lactiplantibacillus plantarum. RNAcentral's name for it is "bacterial SSU rRNA". It matches the Rfam family "Bacterial small subunit ribosomal RNA", at positions 42 to 872 of the family's 1533-position model. The record is from RNAcentral. Lineage: Bacteria; Bacillati; Bacillota; Bacilli; Lactobacillales; Lactobacillaceae.